UACGUAGGGGGCAAGCGUUGUCCGGAUUUAUUGGGCGUAAAAGGCUUGUAGGUGGCCACGCCAAGUCGGAUGUGAAAUCUCCCGGCUCAACUGGGAGGGGUCAUUCGAUACUGGUGGGCUCGAGGCCGGUAGGGGGAAGCGGAAUUCCCGGUGUAGUGGUGGAAUGCGUAGAUAUCGGGAGGAACACCAGUGGCGAAGGCGGCUUCCUGGACCGGUUCUGACGCUGAGGCGCGAAAGCUAGGGGAGCAAACAGG
This 254-nucleotide ribosomal RNA is filed under the name uncultured bacterium. RNAcentral describes it as "partial 16S ribosomal RNA". It matches the Rfam family "Bacterial small subunit ribosomal RNA", at positions 524 to 776 of the family's 1533-position model. The record is from RNAcentral.